Non-coding RNA from Chelonoidis abingdonii (Abingdon island giant tortoise), 891 nucleotides. The record is from RefSeq and is a predicted model, not a curated record. Lineage: Eukaryota; Metazoa; Chordata; Testudines; Testudinidae.
AUUGCACUCGGCUCCUUGACCCAAGUGCCAGGAACGGGCGGUUGUGAGACAGCUCAGUGACUUCAGGCCGAAGCCACGCUCCUGACAGGGCUCGCUUUAGCCGCUUGGAGGCCCCCAUCCUGGGCGAGCUGGGUCUGUUGUUGGGCUCCGGCUACUUCGGGGAUCCGGCGGCAGAUGGAACCAUCAGCUUCUCCCCUGCCCGGGCAACGCAGCCACGAGGCUAUCCUCAUGCAGUGGAGCGUGCAUGGUGUCAUGUUUCGGUUUCACUUCCUGCUGUUGCCUGUGUGAGCAAGGCAAUUCUCUGUGCGCUCUGCCCUCUUCCCUUCUCGUGCUCUACUGUGGAUUGCACCCACGGGGCCUAAUUGAGGUGCUGCUGGGUUCAAUGUGCAGCAGUAGGCACGUCAAGGGCCAGUAUCCCGGCAAAGCCCCAGCUCUGGGAGCACCCCAACAGCAGCACUGUGGAGAGAUGAGUGGGAGGAGAUGGGGAAGCGGCAGGAGAGGAGGAGGAGAUGGAGGAUGGAGGAGAUUCAAUUGUGGAGAUUUUCUGACCCAACAGAUCCCAUGGGUCCUCGACUUGGCCCGAGAGGACUGCAGAAUUGCCGCUGUUACUACCGUUCCAAAACAGAUGCUGUUCGGUCAAUAUGUAGUAGCGCAACGUGUGAGAAGGAAGGCAAGAAACUGGCAAGGUUCCUAAGAUCCAACCAUUGCUAAUUCCCGAGUUGCUGCCAGGGGAGACUCAUACUUAGCUCUCGAGAUCGACGAGGAGAAGGGCGAGGAGAAGCAGCCCAGACUAGGCAACCUCUCCAAGUGACUGAAGAAGACCAAGAAAAACCACUAGAGCAGAGAGCCAGAUACAUUGACUGUCCUCAUUGUUGCCUCGUAUCUACACCA